UACAGAGGGGGCAAGCGUUGUUCGGAAUUACUGGGCGUAAAGGGCGCGUAGGCGGCCUUCUAAGUCGAACGUGAAAUCCCCGGGCUCAACCCGGGAACUGCGUCCGAUACUGGGAGGCUUGAAUCCGGGAGAGGGAUGUGGAAUUCCAGGUGUAGCGGUGAGAUGCGUAGAUAUCUGGAGGAACACCGGUGGCGAAGGCGGCAUCCUGGACCGGCAUUGACGCUGAACAGCGAAAGCCAGGGGAGCAAACGGG
Molecule: ribosomal RNA, 253 nt
Filed under: uncultured bacterium
Lineage: Bacteria
Description: partial 16S ribosomal RNA
Rfam family: Bacterial small subunit ribosomal RNA
Source: RNAcentral